RNAcentral lists this non-coding RNA (20 nucleotides) under Rattus norvegicus (Norway rat). Lineage: Eukaryota; Metazoa; Chordata; Mammalia; Rodentia; Muridae. The record is from RNAcentral.
AAGCCUCUCUCCAAAAGCCU